CAGUACUGUACAAGCUGUAAGCAGUGCAUUUCAGCUCCUGUCUGCCAACACCGAGGAUUUCUAAAUCAUUACAGCCCAGAAGACAGUGAAGAAGUAAGAGGUAGAAAUACCACAAGGAGUACAUUCUUCAGAACAUUCUAUGACUGGACUGUCUCUUGAAAACCUUCACUGAAGUCAAUAGGAACUGAACACACAUAUCAGAAGUCAAACUUUGUGUCUUUAUGAUUUUUAGAAUGUUCUAAAAAGCCUCUGGAGGAACACUCUUAUAAAAUAAAUUCUGAGGUAAGCCCCUUAUGAAGAACAAAAGCGAGUAUUAUUUCACAGCCUCACCGAAACGCAGUGGAUCUGGAAUAAAUCAGGAAGAGUUUGGAAUGGAUUUAUUGGAAGGGUGAUGCUUCUGUUUAGCUUUCCAUUUUUUACGGGAAGAAUUAGAAAUGUCAUUUGGCAGAUGUCUAUAAUGUUUUUGGAACUGGAAGGAAAUUUGGCUUUUCCAUUUGGUGUGGGUGGAUGUUCCUCUAGGCCACAUUUAACAUGCAAAAUGGGAGAGGUGGGUUUGAAACCCUUCCUUGAGCGAGGCCUGUAGCUGCAUGUUUUGCAGACUUACUACAGAAAAUCCUCUGCCAGCAACCUGCAUACCUGAUCCAUCUAUUACCCCUAGGGAGAUGGCCCUAAGCAUCAGUUUCACUUUUUUUUUUUUUGCAGCAUGAAGAUUCAAGCAAAAAAAAAUCAAAGUAUCAGGAUUCAGAGCAGCAAGAAAUCAAUAGACCGGAUAAACUGGUUUAUCCUCCUUGCUUUCUGCUGCUGUGCAAAAGAGUUAUAAACAUGGUUUACCCAGCCAGAUUCCACCAGUGCAUCUAACCUUAUCUGCAUUUUGUGGAUCUAAGUACAUCUUGGGUUUAUGCUUGACAUUAUGUUUGAUGACUGUCCUGUCUGUUCCACCCCAAGCAGGAUGCAAUUCUAAUCUUUCUGGAUUUGGAGACUGAUGCUGAAGAACUAAUAAUUAUAAUUGAUGAAGGAAAAGCUCAUAUUCUUUGCAAGAGACCAGAGGAAACUUCAGACAAUACCACGCAGUGCUAAGUGAGAACUUACAACAUUGAAUAAGACUUAAAGACAUUUCUUCAAACACAUUGAUGAAAAGUCUAAAUUUACUAUGCCCCAAUAUUGACAUAGGUCUCCCUUCCCAUGAGGGGAAACUCUAAAAGCUUAAGUCUGUUGCUAUUCAUCCAUUUACCUUACAGCAAAAAGAUGACACUGCUAAGCGUCAUGUAUCUUGCAUCAUUCUUGGAAAUUCUUGCUGGAAUUGAAACUGCAAAGACAAGGAAAAAAAUCUGGUUAAUAUUUAUUUUCUACAACUUGACAAAAGCAUAGACAGGAACAGAAGAAUCAUAAAUGUCUACAGAAAACUGUGCAGCUUGGUGCAGAGAACCUGGAAACAUACGUACCCAGUUAGAUGAAUUUGCUUUGUGCUGCACCCGAGCUAAUAACCCCUAUUGAGAGGUUCAUAGUAUAGGUUAAGUGUUGCAACACAAGGAAUUAUAGAUCAGUGUAUAGAUCUAUAGAUCUACAGUCUACCUUCUGUCCUCAUAGAUACUGAAAUACACCUACAACAGUCUCUUUGAAAGUGUUUACGGUAAAAUUCAUCUUACCUUCUUUGGCCAGAUAAACAUUAUCUUUAUACUCUGAGUGUGAAACUCCAUGCUGAAGGAUAUUGUAGACAAUAGUUUCAGAAUGUAUAAAGAAAGUAGGCAAUAGAGAUGAAUAGAUGGGUCACUAAAGGCUGUUAAAAUACUAGACUGGGUGCAAGAAGUUUCUGGGUUUAAAAUUGCUUCGUUAUGGGAAAGUGAUCCUAGGGUAGUAUCUGUACUAUCUAGCAUGUUUUAAUGCACAUUCUACUUUAUAGGAAGCAUCAUACAUGGACAUAUGAAUCUAUUUGUUUGACUAAAUGUGUCUGUGGGUGAGACACGGUCAUCUUGUUCCACUAGGAUCAAUGGACACUGGAAACGCUUCCACAAGAUGUUCUAGAUGCUAUCAUCAAAAAUAUACAUGCAGCUGAUUAAAAUACUUUAUUCUCUAAGAGUCAGAAGCCUGUAAAGGUAGGUGUCAUGGUUUUAUGAUUUUUUGUUAUUGGUAUUCCACGUCAUAACAUCAUGUAGUGCACUGGGAGUUAAAGAGUUAAUGCUCCAGUUCCGUGGAUCAUGAAUAGUUCUGGGUACCCGGUUCUCAGAAGAGAAGAACUACAUUUCCCAGGGGACGCUGCUGCUCUGUUACCAUUUUCCAUGCAGACGGAAAGAUAAAACUGUUUGCAUUUCACAAGAUGUUCUCUCUUCUCGUCCCGUCUCUUGUCCUGGCAGCAUCUCGCUUCCCAGCUGUCUCACCACUGGUAUUAGAGUAAAGCCUACCUUAAUUUUGGACACUCUCUCUUAUUUUAUUGGAUUUAUUAGCUUAAAUUGUAAUUAUAUUGUAUUAUAGUAUGUUAUUUUGCAUUUUGAUAUAUUAUUUAGUAAAUUAGUUUGU
Molecule: long non-coding RNA, 2514 nt
Organism: Numida meleagris (helmeted guineafowl)
Lineage: Eukaryota; Metazoa; Chordata; Aves; Galliformes; Numididae
Exons: 3
Source: RefSeq, a predicted model, not a curated record